UUUAGAUCACACAAAUGAGAAGGUAGUCGAGGCUGCACUAGCAGCAAUAUCUACUUUGUUGGAUGAUGGUGUUGAUAUCGAACAAGGAGUGAUGGUGUUGUGUGAAGCAGAGGGGAUUAAACCCAUACUUGAUGUGUUACUUGAGAAAAGGACAGAGAAUCUGAGGAGGAGGGCGGUUUGGGCUGUUGAGAGGCUUUUACGAACUGAUGACAUAGCAUAUGAAGUUUCUGGAGAUCCAAAUUUGAGCACUGCACUUGUUGACGCCUUCCAGCAUGCUGACUAUCGAACCCGACAGAUUGCUGAGCGUGCCCUGAAACAUGUUGAUAAGAUACCUAAUUUCUCCGGUGUCUUUGCAAACAUGGGAUAGGCCUCUUCCAGUUGAGCUGUGCACAAGUUGAUUAUUGCAAGGACAUGUAUGUAAUUCAUCCCUCGUCCUGAACGGUUCUGAGGUGGCUAUGGUUUGCAAAAUAGGUAGAUAUUGUUGUAAACAGAUUUUGUUCAUUUGUUUUCAAUGAUGCUCUUUCCUUUUGCCUUGUUUCUUUA
This 543-nucleotide unclassified non-coding RNA is filed under the name Hevea brasiliensis (rubber tree). Lineage: Eukaryota; Viridiplantae; Streptophyta; Magnoliopsida; Malpighiales; Euphorbiaceae. The record is from RNAcentral.